Molecule: ribosomal RNA, 498 nt
Filed under: Brevibacillus parabrevis
Lineage: Bacteria; Bacillati; Bacillota; Bacilli; Caryophanales; Paenibacillaceae
Description: bacterial SSU rRNA
Rfam family: Bacterial small subunit ribosomal RNA
Source: RNAcentral
ACGCCGCGUGACUGAUGAAGGUCUUCGGAUUGUAAAGUCUCUGUUGUCAGGGACGAACACGUACCGUUCGAAUAGGGCGGUACCUUGACGGUACCUGACCAGAAAGCCACGGCUAACUACGUGCCAGCAGCCGCGGUAAUACGUAGGUGGCAAGCGUUGUCCGGAUUUAUUGGGCGUAAAGGGCGCGCAGGCGGCUAUGUAAGUCUGGUGUUAAAGCCCGGAGCUCAACUCCGGUUCGCAUCUGAAACUGGGUAACUUGAGUGCAAAAAAAGAAAGCGGUAUUCCACGUGUAGCGGUGAAAUGCGUAAAGAUGUGGAGGAACACCAGUGGCGAAAGCGGCUUUCUGGUCUGUAACUGACGCUGAAGCACCAAAGCCUGGGGAGCAAACAGGAUUAAAUACCCUGGUAAUCCACGCCGUAAACGAUGAAUGCUAAGUGUUGGGGGUUUCACUACCCUCAAUGCCGCCGCUAACGCAUUAAGCACUCCGCCCGGGGAGAA